This 347-nucleotide unclassified non-coding RNA is filed under the name uncultured fungus. RNAcentral describes it as "partial contains small subunit ribosomal RNA, internal transcribed spacer 1, and 5.8S ribosomal RNA". The stretch from base 1 to 73 matches the Rfam family "Eukaryotic small subunit ribosomal RNA", at positions 1759 to 1831 of the family's 1831-position model. The record is from RNAcentral. Lineage: Eukaryota; Fungi.
GCAAACUUGGUCAUUUAGAGGAAGUAAAAGUCGUAACAAGGUUUCCGUAGGUGAACCUGCGGAAGGAUCAUUAGUGAAUGAACUUGGUCAAGUUGUUGCUGGUCUUGAAGACAUGUGCACGCUUGGCUUUUGUUUCUAACCACCUGUGCACCUUUUGUAGACUUGGAGUUUUUGAAACAUUUUGUUUCGUGUGGGGAAUUGCGUUAGCUUUCCUUGUCCCCUCCAGUCUAUGUUUUUAUAUACCCUUUUGAAUGUAAAGAACGUGUAUUGGGCUUUUCUAAGCCUUUAAAACAUAUACAACUUUCAACAACGGAUCUCUUGGCUCUCGCAUCGAUGAAGAACGCAGC